UUGUCUCAUAAAUACAAGUGAUGAUGUACAUAACCGUUUAGUCAAUGCAUUUAAGGGUGAACAUCAAUUUGAGGCUGGCAAUAGCUACGCGUCUCAGACUAAAUGUUCUGGUAAAACAAUGGAAUGUUCCAAUAUUUGUAAUGACCUGAAAGAUUGUUCAGCGUUGAAUAACAUGAUAAAUACUUCACAGAACAGCGAAAUGAAAGAAGAUCUGGAAGGAUGUAGUGAUAAUGAAACAGCUGCUGUUAAUUUUAGUACUGCCCCCAAUACAAAAGAUGAGACUUCAAAUAUUGUAUCAGAAAUUAAAGCCGAUAAGACAUUCGUCAUUUUCAUGAAAGAAAAAGAAAGCAGCCGGCCAGAAAUGAAAGCCCACAAGAUCUCUAUAGCGCUUUCAUCUAAAGGAUCUGCUUUUGACAAUUUUGAAAAAUUUACCUUGUAUCCUGACACUGAAGAACUAGAUACAGUUACACUUAUUCGAGAGCUGAAUUCUAGCAACACAGCAAUACAUUAUAAAAAAAAGAGUAGCAAUUCACAAAUCAUUUAUGAUAAUGAUGAUGGAAAAUCAAAUUCAGCUUGCUUGGCUUUCAUAUCAUCGAUUCCUCAUAUAUCAAACCUUGAAACUGAAUCAGUAGAAUAUGGUCACAACACCAAGAAUAAAGCAGAUAAGGAAACCUAUAGUGCAAUUACUAGUCACAAAGAGAAAAUGUGUUCUGAUUUUCUAAGAGGACUGCAAGACAGACCCAAGGAAGAAAAUAAUCUGCGUUGCAUUCAAACCAUUCAAUCUUUAAUCCCUAAAGAUAUCAGGAAGGCAGAUCAAUUACAACACAGUGUGGACCAUGAACAAAUAUGCAAUGAAUCCAAUCUAUAUGGGAAUGAGAAGAAAAGAAAGGAGUUAUCCUAUGAUAUAGUUACUACUUUUCAAAACAACUUGACACAUGGCACGCCUAAGGAGGUAUUAAUGCAAACCGACCAAUCUAAUCGUUCCUGUACAGAUAAUUUAUCUGUUCAAAUGGCCCAAAAAAACAAGAAACAAAAAUCAAAUGAAAAGUGCAUUUCAACAAUAAACACAUCUAUAGACCCAAGCGUUCAGAAUACUCAAUAUAAAACACUCCUUAUAAGUGAUGAUACUGUUGAAAGUGAUUUAGCAAAAAAUAGUCAGAUCCUGAAAGAAGAUAGGAAAUCUUUGGAACUAUCCUGUACUCCAUUUCAAUUAGAAUGUAAGGAAGUUGUUUGCAUUACACAAGACGCUCAAAAACCUUUACAUUUUCAAUUAAAAAAUGUGUAUGAAACAUUUUCAAAGGAAUUCAGUGAGGAUAAAACAUCUGCAAGUUUAAUGACAUUUGAUUCUGGUCACCAAAUACAUAAACCUGGUGGCACAAUUCCAGAAGGAUCAAAAGAAUUGUUUAAACAAAUUGAUUCUGCUACUGGAACAAAUAUGUUUACUGUUGAUCCGAGGCAAUCCAAAGAAGAACAAUUUGCACCUGCGAACAAGAAUCCAUAUUUUGUAAUGAAGGAGCAGUUUAAUGCAGUGUUAGAGGAGCUACGCCUGUUUCAUGAAAUUAGCAAGCAGUCAGAAUGGCCUGUCAGUAUGACUGAAGAAACUGCAGCUGAAACUUCUAACAUGAAAGACCCGCACGAGCUGCAGAGUAAACAUGAUGAAGGACAUUACUUAGGUGUGGUUCCAGAGCGUUAUGAUUCACAACACUUGUUUCCUUCACAUGGAAAAGUUGUUGUAACUCCAAGUGACCAUGAUCGCCACUUAAUAGAGCAAAAUACUUUAGAAUAUACACCUUCAGUUUUAGUGAAGAGAGAUUUGGAUGUGAGAGGAGAGCAAGAGGUACCAAUGGAAGUAGAAGUAUCAGAAGCAGAAAGGGAAGAUUCGUUGUAUUCUCCAUCUAAAGUCUCAGGUGAGUAUGUUUCUAUAGAUAUUAAAAUAUCAUCUGUGAAGGGAAAGUACAUUUUUUUUGAGAAUUGUUAUUUAUGUUAAGUGUAUGGAACGAUCAUGGAAUUGGGAUUAGAAAAGGAAAUAUUGGUUACCAUCUUUUCCUCUUCAGUUGUAUUUAAAUUAUUUUCCUGGUAUGCUUUUAGUUUUGAUUUUAUUGAAGGAAAAUAAAGUAGCUAAGGGAUGAAUUUAGGUGAAUGCAAGUUAUAAAUGCACAUAAAUUAUAAUGCCUUGCUGAUUAUCACAAAUGUGACCAGUUGUACCUGUGCCACUCCCUGUACACCACUAGUGGAAAUCAUCUCUUCAAAACGCCCAAUGUGAGCAUGAAAGAAUGGGCAUCCGCUAGGUUCAGCAGCCCUCCAUCAUGGUUGUGUGUCACUGUUCUCCAAGAGAGCUGAAGAUGGCAUUGGCUGCUCGCGUCUGUCCACUCGCCUGCUCGAGACGCUAGAGGGCAAGUGCACAGACAUGAGCAGGCGAGUGCUAUGGGAACCGGGAAGCAACGGAGAAGAGGAGCAAGACCGGCGAGAAUGCUCACAGGAGCUAAUUCGAGGCCAGCAGGCAAGAGAAUAUAAGAAACAUGAGUCUCGAGAAGUUAAAACAUGGUCA
Molecule: RNA transcript, 2548 nt
Organism: Callorhinchus milii (elephant shark)
Lineage: Eukaryota; Metazoa; Chordata; Chondrichthyes; Chimaeriformes; Callorhinchidae
Exons: 2
Source: RefSeq, a predicted model, not a curated record